This 253-nucleotide ribosomal RNA is filed under the name uncultured bacterium. RNAcentral describes it as "partial 16S ribosomal RNA". It matches the Rfam family "Bacterial small subunit ribosomal RNA", at positions 524 to 776 of the family's 1533-position model. The record is from RNAcentral.
UACGAAGGGUGCAAGCGUUAAUCGGAAUUACUGGGCGUAAAGCGUGCGUAGGUGGUUUGUUAAGUCUGCUGUGAAAGCCCUGGGCUCAACCUGGGAAUGGCGGUGGAUACUGACAAGCUAGAGUGCGGUAGAGGAGGGUGGAAUUCCCGGUGUAGCGGUGAAAUGCGUAGAGAUCGGGAGGAACAUCAGUGGCGAAGGCGGCCCUCUGGACCAGCACUGACGCUGAGGCACGAAAGCGUGGGGAGCGAUCCGG